This 79-nucleotide transfer RNA is filed under the name Planotetraspora kaengkrachanensis. Its description in RNAcentral is "tRNA-Val". Lineage: Bacteria; Bacillati; Actinomycetota; Actinomycetes; Streptosporangiales; Streptosporangiaceae. The record is from RNAcentral.
CGGCGCCGGGCGCCCGCCUCGCGUCAGGAGCUCACGUCUCCUGAGGGAAUGCGGGCGCUCGACCCGGCCUGCGCCGACC